Molecule: ribosomal RNA, 253 nt
Filed under: uncultured bacterium
Lineage: Bacteria
Description: partial 16S ribosomal RNA
Rfam family: Bacterial small subunit ribosomal RNA
Source: RNAcentral
UACGUAGGAGACGAGCGUUGUUCGGAAUCACUGGGCGUAAAGCGCACGUAGGCGGAUAUGUCAGUCAGGGGUGAAAUCCCGGGGCUCAACCUCGGAACUGCCCUUGAUACAGCAUAUCUUGAGUCCGAUAGAGGUGGGUGGAAUUCCUAGUGUAGAGGUGAAAUUCGUAGAUAUUAGGAAGAACACCGGUGGCGAAGGCGGCCCACUGGAUCGGUACUGACGCUGAGGUGCGAAAGCGUGGGGAGCAAACAGG